UCAGUGUCCUUGAAGAGGAGUUUCACAAAAUGAAGCAGCUGUCUGGUGGUUGGCUUUGCUAUAAAGCUGCAGGUGGGUGUGGCCAGAGAAAACUGACUGUGGUGCCACCUGAGUCAGAGGGCUACACAGCAAAUUCUUUAAAAACAGCAUCUAACAAUGGCAAGAUCACACUCUACAUUGUACCGCUACAAGACACGAUCGACACUUCGCCACUACCCCACAAGCAGCUGAAUUUGAGAAGAUGCCCAAAUCUAUUUGUAAAAAAUGUGGAGUAAUGAUGCCACUUCAAGUUUUGGCUUUGCACAUUGAAAAUUAUGCAUUAGAGUCAGAGAAUGCAUCUGUACGUUUUUUUGUUUAAAGGAACUAUGUCCAGUUUGUGGAAGGUCUUUUCCUGAAGACAUGGUUGAAUUUCACGCUAGUAUCUGUGUAGAUAAUUGCUCUGCAGAAAUGGAAAUGUUUUCAGAGUGGAAAGAGGAUGCUGUAGCCGGACCAUCCAACAGGCGAGAAUGUGGCCUGGAUGCUGUAGCCGGGCCAUUCAACAGGAGAGGUGGUGGAUGAGGAUUUCACCUUGGAUCUCAGGGAAGACCUGGAGGAGCAGGAUAGAGAGAUAAUUUCUUUGUACAAGCGACCAAAUGUCAAUUGGGCUAGGCCAUUUUCCUGUAUGCUCAGAGGUAGGCCCUAAUAUAUUUUUUUCUAUAGCUCGGGUCAUUACAUUGUACUUGUAACACUGGCAAAUAUAAACUUAUAAAAACAAAUGCAGUGCUUAGUGUUAUCUGCCAUAUUUUAUCUCUGUAAUUGUCUCUAAUCUGUACAUAUCACACUAUCC
Sinocyclocheilus anshuiensis is the source of this 826-nucleotide long non-coding RNA. RefSeq lists it as uncharacterized. The transcript has 4 exons. The record is from RefSeq and is a predicted model, not a curated record. NCBI's taxonomy places the organism in Eukaryota, Metazoa, Chordata, Actinopteri, Cypriniformes, Cyprinidae.